Non-coding RNA from Paramuricea clavata, 89 nucleotides. The record is from the annotation of a GenBank genome assembly. NCBI's taxonomy places the organism in Eukaryota, Metazoa, Cnidaria, Anthozoa, Malacalcyonacea, Plexauridae.
GGCCACUGUAGCUCAGAUGGUUAAAGCGCUGCACCGGUGCAUGUAUACGUAGCAGCUGAGCCGUUGGUUCGAUUCCUGCCAGACGGCCU